GACGAACGCUGGCGGCGUGCCUAAUACAUGCAAGUCGAACGAAGCUGUUUUAACUGGUGCUUGCACCGACUUAAACAACUGAGUGGCGAACGGGUGAGUAACGCGUGGGUAACCUGCCCCAAAGCGGGGGAUAACAUUUGGAAACAGAUGCUAAUACCGCAUAACCACAGAAACCACAUGGUUUCUGUGUCAAAGAUGGUUUCGGCUAUCACUUUGGGAUGGACCCGCGGCGUAUUAGCUAGUUGGUAAGGUAAUGGCUUACCAAGGCAAUGAUACGUAGCCGAACUGAGAGGUUGAUCGGCCACAUUGGGACUGAGACACGGCCCAAACUCCUACGGGAGGCAGCAGUAGGGAAUCUUCCACAAUGGACGAAAGUCUGAUGGAGCAACGCCGCGUGAGUGAGGAAGGUUUUCGGAUCGUAAAACUCUGUUGUCAGAGAAGAACGUGUGCGAGAGUAACUGCUCGUGCAGUGACGGUAUCUGGCCAGAAAGCCACGGCUAACUACGUGCCAGCCGCCGCGGUAA
Molecule: ribosomal RNA, 524 nt
Filed under: uncultured bacterium
Lineage: Bacteria
Description: partial 16S ribosomal RNA
Rfam family: Bacterial small subunit ribosomal RNA
Source: RNAcentral